This 78-nucleotide transfer RNA is filed under the name Mycobacteroides abscessus subsp. abscessus. Its description in RNAcentral is "tRNA-Thr(cgt)". It matches the Rfam family "tRNA". Rfam says of the family: Transfer RNA (tRNA) molecules are approximately 80 nucleotides in length. Their secondary structure includes four short double-helical elements and three loops (D, anti-codon, and T loops). The record is from RNAcentral. Lineage: Bacteria; Bacillati; Actinomycetota; Actinomycetes; Mycobacteriales; Mycobacteriaceae.
GCCUCUUUAGCUCAGACGGUUGGAGCACCCGUCUCGUAAACGGGAGGUUCGCGGGUUCGAGUCCCGCAAGAGGCUCCA